AUGGCCUCCAUGACUACCCCUCGGCUCCCCUUCUUCCCAGCCCGAGCACGCUCUGCCGCCGCCGCCUUCUCUUCGUUGUCCUCCUCCCCGUUACAAUGCUGCCCCGUUAAACGCACCAGCUUCACCAACACCAACUCAGCCCCCCUUCUUUUUGCCUCGCGGCCAGGGGCGCCCUUGGCGGACGGCUGGUCCGCCGACCUCAACCGUCGCCGGGCCUCUGCUAUGCCUGUCGCGGACAGCCCUCUUCCCGCGUACAGCGAUCCGCAUGCGUUACCUCUGCCUCUCACUAGUGCGGAUCUAAUGGAGUCGGGCGGGGAGGGGCUCAAGGUUGCCUACCAGGGCUUCCCAGGAGCGUACAGCGAGUCCGCGGCAAAGAAGGCCUAUCCACAUUGCCAGACCGUGCCUUGCGAGCACUUCGAUACUGCAUUUCAGGCUGUAGAAAACUGUACAGUUGAUAGGGCAGUAUUGCCACUUGAGAAUACUCUGGGCGGUAGCAUACAUCGGAACUAUGACCUUCUACUUCGUCAUAAGCUACACAUAGUUGGAGAUGUUCGCCUUGCAGUUCGGCAUUGUUUGUUAGCCAAUCGUGGAGUGAAGAUUGGAAACCUAAGAAGUGUCAUGAGCCAUCCCCAGGCUCUUGCUCAAUGUGAGCAUACACUGACAGAGUUAGGAAUUGAACAGAGACAAGCUGUUGAUGACACUGCUGGUGCAGCAAAGUUAGUUACAGAACAAAUGCUCCAAGAUACUGGUGUUGUUGCCAGUUCAUUAGCUGCUGAACUUUAUGGACUGGAUAUUCUUGCUGAAAAUAUUCAGGACGAAAAAGAGAACGUCACCCGUUUUAUGAUGCUUGCUCGGAAACCUAUUGUACCUCAGGUUGAUAAACCAUUCAAGACCAGCAUUGUGUUUUCACUUGAAGAUUGGAAACCUGCGCAGCUCCUCAAGGCACUUGCAGUUUUUGCACUGAGGGACAUCGACCUCACCAAGAUAGAAAGCCGCCCACACAAGAAAAGGCCUUUUCGUGUAGCUGAUGAUACUUUCUCCACACCCGUCAAGUACUUCAACUACCUCUUUUAUGUUGACCUUGAGGCAUCAAUGGCUGAUCCAAAAGCUCUGAAAGCUCUUGGAAAUUUGGAGGAGUUUGCACCCUUUGUAAGAGUCCUGGGGAGCUAUCCUACAGACGUGAGUGAAGUUUGA
This 1194-nucleotide ribosomal RNA is filed under the name Triticum aestivum (bread wheat). RNAcentral describes it as "partial small subunit ribosomal RNA". Lineage: Eukaryota; Viridiplantae; Streptophyta; Magnoliopsida; Poales; Poaceae. The record is from RNAcentral.